CCCGAGCUCCACCUUCUUCAGAGCAGGGACCGCAGCAGCGGGAAGAAGACAGCCCUGGAGGUCCCGGACCUGUGGAAGGCCAUGACGGGUUCCCCAAUCCCCACCCUCAGCAGGCCACCAAGAGGAGUCCGAGGGAGACCUUGGCCAAACCAGAGACGGCAGACCCGGGCGAGCUCAGCAAGAAAGCUCCCAGGGAGGGAGAGGUCCUGCAGUCUUAGAUGGCUCCACACCUCUCCUCUGCAUCCUUCUCUCCAGCUCCUCCUGAGCCCCCCUCUAGCUCCCUCCACUGAGACUAGGAUCUUGAAAUUAAGUCCCCAAAUCCUAUGUAGAAAAUUUGGAGUGUUGGCAGAA
Molecule: long non-coding RNA, 351 nt
Organism: Herpailurus yagouaroundi (jaguarundi)
Lineage: Eukaryota; Metazoa; Chordata; Mammalia; Carnivora; Felidae
Exons: 3
Source: RefSeq, a predicted model, not a curated record